UACAGAGGGGGCAAGCGUUGUUCGGAAUUACUGGGCGUAAAGGGCGCGUAGGCGGCCUGCUAAGUCGAACGUGAAAUCCCCGGGCUCAACCCGGGAACUGCGUCCGAUACUGGCAGGCUUGAAUUCGGGAGAGGGAUGCGGAAUUCCAGGUGUAGCGGUGAAAUGCGUAGAUAUCUGGAGGAAUACCGGUGGCGAAGGCGGCAUCCUGGACCGAGAUUGACACUGAUGAGCGAAAGCUAGGGGAGCAAACGGG
This 253-nucleotide ribosomal RNA is filed under the name uncultured bacterium. Its description in RNAcentral is "partial 16S ribosomal RNA". It matches the Rfam family "Bacterial small subunit ribosomal RNA", at positions 524 to 776 of the family's 1533-position model. The record is from RNAcentral.